RNAcentral lists this ribosomal RNA (435 nucleotides) under uncultured bacterium. RNAcentral describes it as "partial 16S ribosomal RNA". It matches the Rfam family "Bacterial small subunit ribosomal RNA", at positions 29 to 507 of the family's 1533-position model. The record is from RNAcentral.
AGCGAACGCUGGCGGCAGGCUUAACACAUGCAAGUCGAGCGGGCACUUUCGGGUGUCAGCGGCGGACGGGUGAGUAACGCGUGGGAACGUGCCCUCUGGUUCGGAAUAACUCAGGGAAACUUGAGCUAAUACCGGAUACGCCCUUUUGGGGAAAGGCUUGCUGCCGGAGGAUCGGCCCGCGUCUGAUUAGCUAGUUGGUGAGGUAACGGCUCACCAAGGCGACGAUCAGUAGCUGGUCUGAGAGAAUGAUCAGCCACACUGGGACUGAGACACGGCCCAGAAUCCUACGGGAGGCAGCAGUGGGUAAUAUUGGACAAUGGGCGCAAGCCUGAUCCAGCCAUGCCGCGUGAGUGAUGAAGGUCUUAGGGUUGUAAAGCUCUUUUAUCCGGGACGAUAAUGACGGUACCUGAGGAAUAAGCCCCGGCUAACUUCGUG